Molecule: ribosomal RNA, 951 nt
Filed under: human gut metagenome
Description: bacterial SSU rRNA
Rfam family: Bacterial small subunit ribosomal RNA
Source: RNAcentral
GGGUAAAGGAGCGCAGCGGGGAAGACAAGUGGAAAGGGAAUGCAAGGGCUCAACCCAUGAACUGCGGUCAAAACGGUGUUUCCCGAGUAGUGCAGAGGUAGGCGGAAUUCCCGGUGUAACGGUGGAAUGCGUAGAAAUCGGGAGGAACACCAGUGGCGAAGGCGGCCUACUGGGCACCAACGGACGCUGAGGCUCGAAAGUGUGGGUAGCAAACAGGAUUAGAUACCCUGGUUGUCCACACCGUAAACGAUGAUUACUAGGUGUUGGAGGAUUGACCCCUUCAGUGCCGCAGUUUACACAAUAAGUUAUCCACCUGGGGAGUACGACCGCAAGGUUGAAACUCAAAGGAAUUGACGGGGGCCCGCACAAGCAGUGGAGUAUGUGGUUUAAUUCGACGCAACGCGAAGAACCUUACCAAGUCUUGACAUCCUGCGACGGUGCUGGAAACAGUACUUUCCUUCGGGACGCAGAGACAGGUGGUGCAUGGUNGUCGUCAGCUCGUGUCGUGAGAUGUUGGGUUAAGUCCCGCAACGAGCGCAACCCUUAUGGUCAGNUACUUACGCAAGAGGACUCUGGCCAGACUGCCGUUGACAAAACGGAGGAAGGUGGGGAUGACGUCAAAUCAUCAUGCCCUUUAUGACUUGGGCUACACACGUACUACAAUGGCGUUAAACAAAGAGAAGCAAGACCGCGAGGUGGAGCAAAACUCAGAAACAACGUCCCAGUUCGGACUGCAGGCUGCAACUCGCCUGCACGAAGUCGGAAUUGCUAGUAAUCGUGGAUCAGCAUGCCACGGUGAAUACGUUCCCGGGCAUUGUACACACCGCCCGUCACACCAUGAGAGCCGGGGGGGCCCGAAGUCGGUAGUCUAACCGCAAGGAGGACGCCGCCGAAGGUAAUAUAGGGAUUGGGGGAAGUCGUAACAAGGUAGCCGUUUCAAACCUGCGGUUA